AAUUGUCCGGCUGCACAAUGCUAUUG
This 26-nucleotide non-coding RNA is filed under the name Cricetulus griseus (Chinese hamster). The record is from RNAcentral. Lineage: Eukaryota; Metazoa; Chordata; Mammalia; Rodentia; Cricetidae.